CUAAACUUAUUUCUACCCAGCUUGUUUCUGCUCAGAAGCUGCUGCUGGAGCACAAAGAUGUGGAGAUUGACUAUGAAGGGGAGGACGACCAGUUACACCUAAAUGUGAACUGGCCACAAUGCGUCGAGGCACAAAAUGAGAAGCUUCAAACAAUAUUAGAAGAAUAUGAAGAUCAAUACUAGUACGCGCAAAUAAGUGACUCUGAAUCUGCAGAGGAACUGAUGAAGUGGCGAGAAACGGUUUCUAAGUCAACACCGAGCCAUGACAACGAUGAGUGGACUGUCAUGGAUUUAAGGAUGAAUCAAGUUGAGGAAAAAAGAGAAGAUUUGAUCUCAGAACUGCCGGAGCUGGAGGAGGAAGUGUGGGAUCUUCAGACACAAGGAC
Molecule: long non-coding RNA, 384 nt
Organism: Amblyraja radiata (thorny skate)
Lineage: Eukaryota; Metazoa; Chordata; Chondrichthyes; Rajiformes; Rajidae
Exons: 4
Source: RefSeq, a predicted model, not a curated record